This 214-nucleotide ribosomal RNA is filed under the name Clostridioides difficile. Its description in RNAcentral is "partial 23S ribosomal RNA". It matches the Rfam family "Bacterial large subunit ribosomal RNA", at positions 1086 to 1306 of the family's 2925-position model. The record is from RNAcentral. Lineage: Bacteria; Bacillati; Bacillota; Clostridia; Peptostreptococcales; Peptostreptococcaceae.
CAGACAACCAGGAUGUUGGCUUAGAAGCAGCCACUCAUUCAAAGAGUGCGUAAUAGCUCACUGGUCGAGUGAUCCUGCGCCGAAGAUUUCCGGGGCUAAAACUUACUACCGAAGCUACGGCAUCAGUAAUGAUGGGGAGGGGAGCUUCCCAUACGGGUUGAAGCAUGACCGUAAGGACAUGUGGACAGUAUGGGAGUGAGAAUGUUGGCAUGAG